RNAcentral lists this ribosomal RNA (396 nucleotides) under uncultured bacterium. Its description in RNAcentral is "bacterial SSU rRNA". It matches the Rfam family "Bacterial small subunit ribosomal RNA", at positions 96 to 487 of the family's 1533-position model. The record is from RNAcentral.
UGCGGAACGGGUGAGUAAUGCAUCGGGAACGUGCCCAGUAGUGGGGGAUAGCCCGGCGAAAGCCGGAUUAAUACCGCAUGAGACCUGAGGGUGAAAGCGGGGGAUCGCAAGACCUCGCGCUACUGGAGCGGCCGAUGUCAGAUUAGCUAGUUGGUGGGGUAAAGGCCUACCAAGGCAACGAUCUGUAGUUGGUCUGAGAGGACGACCAGCCACACUGGGACUGAGACACGGCCCAGACUCCUACGGGAGGCAGCAGUGGGGAAUUUUGGACAAUGGGCGCAAGCCUGAUCCAGCAAUGCCGCGUGCAGGAAGAAGGCCUUCGGGUUGUAAACUGCUUUUGUCAGGGAAGAAAUCCUCUGGGUUAAUACCUCGGGGGGAUGACGGUACCUGAAGAAU